This 31-nucleotide non-coding RNA is filed under the name Rattus norvegicus (Norway rat). The record is from RNAcentral. Lineage: Eukaryota; Metazoa; Chordata; Mammalia; Rodentia; Muridae.
UGGGAGGACAGGCUCCAUGCCGUUUCUUGUA